RNAcentral lists this ribosomal RNA (352 nucleotides) under uncultured Ruminococcus sp. RNAcentral's name for it is "partial 16S ribosomal RNA". Lineage: Bacteria; Bacillati; Bacillota; Clostridia; Eubacteriales; Oscillospiraceae. The record is from RNAcentral.
GGAGUUUGGGCCGUGUCUCAGUCCCAAUGUGGCCGGUCACCCUCUCAGGUCGGCUAUGGAUCGUCGGCUUGGUGGGCCGUUACCUCACCAACUACCUAAUCCAACGCGGGCCCAUCUCACACCACCGGAGUUUUUCACACUCUGCCAUGCAGCAGUGUGCGCUUAUGCGGUAUUAGCAGUCGUUUCCAACUGUUGUCCCCCAGUGUGAGGCAGGUUGCCCACGCGUUACUCACCCAUCCGCCACUAAGUCACAAAGAUCAUCAUUCCGAAGAAAUCAGUUCUAAGUGCUUCGUUCGACUUGCAUGUGUUAAGCACGCCGCCAGCGUUCAUCCUGAGCCAUGAUCAAACUACU